GACGAACGCUGGCGGCGUGCUUAACACAUGCCAGUCGAACGGAAAGGCCCUGCUUUUGUGGGGUGCUCGAGUGGCGAACGGGUGAGUAACACGUGAGUAACCUGCCCUUGACUUUGGGAUAACUUCAGGAAACUGGGGCUAAUACCGGAUAGGAGCUCCUGCUGCAUGGUGGGGGUUGGAAAGUUUCGGCGGGUGGGGAUGGACUCGCGGCUUAUCAGCUUGUUGGUGGGGUAGUGGCUUACCAAGGCUUUGACGGGUAGCCGGCCUGAGAGGGUGACCGGCCACAUUGGGACUGAGAUACGGCCCAGACUCCUACGGGAGGCAGCAGUGGGGAAUAUUGCACAAUGGGCGGAAGCCUGAUGCAGCAACGCCGCGUGCGGGAUGACGGCCUUCGGGUUGUAAACCGCUUUCGCCUGUGACGAAGCGUGAGUGACGGUAAUGGGUAAAGAAGCACCGGCUAACUACGUG
This 468-nucleotide ribosomal RNA is filed under the name uncultured bacterium. RNAcentral's name for it is "partial 16S ribosomal RNA". It matches the Rfam family "Bacterial small subunit ribosomal RNA", at positions 28 to 507 of the family's 1533-position model. The record is from RNAcentral.